RNA transcript from Tetranychus urticae (two-spotted spider mite), 6354 nucleotides. It is a transcript of the gene named rho guanine nucleotide exchange factor 18 cysts, with no coding region annotated. The record is from RefSeq and is a predicted model, not a curated record. NCBI's taxonomy places the organism in Eukaryota, Metazoa, Arthropoda, Arachnida, Trombidiformes, Tetranychidae.
CGCAUUUAAACUGUCUGUUUGAAAAAAACGAGCGAAAAGUUGUCAAAUAGUGUUUUGUUUACAACUUUUUUCACCCAAAACGUGAAUUUUACUUUAAGACCAACUUUAAUUCAAGUUAACUAUUGGAUUUAACCAAUUAAUUGCUGUGCUGUGUAAAUUGUUGACAGUGUUGAGUCAACAAUUGCCAUUAAUUUCUUUCCUUUGGAUAUUAAAAAGACUAAAUUACAAAGAAUGUGAAUCAAACAAACGAAGUUAGAUUCAUUUGGAAAUUUGUCACCAAUUUGGUGUUUAUGAAAAUUAAAAUGAACCAUUUUCACCGAGAAUUGGAUUCAUGUUGAAUGGAAGAAGAGAUUACAUUGUUGUCUUCAUCUUCAUCGUCAACCUCAUCUUCAUCUUCAUCACUUUCAAUUGAAACAUGUUAUCAUCAUGAUGAUUCUGAGUUGGUAAGACUUCGUCGUUAUUCCAAUGAUUUUCUUCGAUCGAUUCCACCUCGUCCGCAUACACUAACAUUUGGUGCUUAUGAAAGUAUGGAAAUGAUGAAACACGAUGAUUCAAGAGACUCUGAAACUCGAUCUGAAUGUAAAAUGGAAACGAAUGAAAAAGACUCAGAGGUUGAACUAAGUGAGGUCAUCAAGGAUAAUCAAGGUCAACAACUGAUUACGAUAAAGACAGAGGAUGAACAGGUAGAGUCGAGUGUUGAGAUUGAGUGCAAUCAAGAGCCUGUACAAAGUGAAAUGGUCAAAAUUGGUUGCAUAAAUGAUCAAAGAUCGGUAAAGAUUAAAGUAAACGAUUUGACUCCAUCGAGUAGUCAAGAGUUUCUUGGUCCUGCAGUUGGAGGUCGUCGAUCACCAGGGACACCAUCGAGUCUUGCCAGUUCAACUUGUAGUUCACCUCAAGCUUCACCCGUGAGUACACCAAGCAAGUCACCUACACCAGUCGAUCCUUCAGUCUCCAGUCACUCCACUUCAACCUCAACCACCACAACUGCCGGUUCAACGACCAUUGGUGGUACAACGGCUAAACGAUGUGCCAAGCGUAACAGUAACUCGGGUUUACCUGGAAGUACCAACAAUCUGAAGCAGAGCAACUACACUGUCAAUAAUAACUCGUUGAAUUACAGCAAGGAAAGUCGAGAAAUGGGUUCAGAUCCAAUCAUUAGACGUAAAAGUUGGUCUUCAUCCAUUGAUCAAGCCGGACUGGGUCAAAAUGAACUUGACCAUUUCAUUGGAGAUGCACCUCAUCGAGUAGUCAGCUUGAGCAGUUUGGAUUCCGAUAUUGAAGAGACGUUUUACGAUGCGAGAGAAUCCGAUUCACCGAAACGAAAAAUGACUCAGGCCAAACCAAGUGAACAACCAUCUUCAAACACCAACAGUAAUCACAAGAAAACCAUUUUUACAUUAACAAGAUAUUCAUCGAUUUCAGCUUCCAGAUUGGAUGAUAUUGUUAAUUCAAUUGAUGAUCAAAGUGAAGGAGAAGAUAAAUUGCGAUUAAAAGCAACUGGAUUAACAGUUUCUUUCGAAGACUUGACCCUUUCAGAGUCAAGUGACCACAAAGAAUCUCAAAACAAUUCAACUGUUAAUUUACAAUUUGAUAAACCCCGGUCAUUAUCAGCCAGUUCAAGUGAAGCAAUAUUCAACUUAAACCAUCAUCAAAGUUCAUCAUCACCUAGUCAAUGUAAUCAUGCAAAUGCACCGAUGGUUCAAUCUGCUCGAAGUAUGAGUGAUAUAAUUAAUGUGAAACCCUCAUUGGAUGAUUUCAGCUCAAUGAAAAGUGAAAGCAACUCUUCUUCACGUGAAAGCAUCUCACCUUCAUCAACAGUCAGUGGUAACCUCACAAGUAAACGGUUGAUGGCCACAAGUGCAACUCCAUCAACACCUCUAACAAGCUCAAAAUCAUCGAGUUCAGUGAAGAAGGUUGAACCAGUAACAUCACCAUCAACGGUGACAACAUCAAAAGCAACGCCAACAACAAUAAUAUCACCUUCUCAUUAUUAUCAUCAUCAGUAUUUAACUCCUCCUCGAUCAACUUUACACAAAUCAAUAUCAACUCCUUCCAUUUUGACUGCUCAAGAAGCUGUUGAGGAACAAUCAACUCCUCAUGAACGUCGAGACAAAAAUUUAUCCUACAUCAGUAACCAGGAAAGUGAUGAUGAAAAGUCAAUAUCGAAAAGGAAAAAAAGAGGAAGCUUAUUUUUCCGUAAAAAACGAAAGGACAAAGAGGUUAAAAAAGUUUCACCUCAUCAGUUCGUUUCCGUAUGUUAUUCAAUUGCUGCUCUCUGUGAUGUCUGUAAAAAAGCAUUGGCCAAUAAACCUGCCAUUAAAUGUGAAAAUUGUAUGGUAACUGUUCAUGAUAGCUCAUGUAAAGAUCAAAUAUUAGAUUGUAAUAAAUUUCGACUUGCAAAGAAGCCAAGUCAUUUAGCAUUAACAACCAAAGACAGAACCAUUUCACCGAUGCUCCAAGUUCCUCCAGGUCGACUUCAUUAUCACCCCUUAAGAGGUUUUCCAUCUCUCUUUGAAUACCCUGAUAUGGAACAAUUUCCUAUGAUUGGAUCAAAUGCUAAAUCAUCAUCACCGACUUCAUCGGUUAAGGAAAAGAAACUUGUUGGUUUCAGUAAGAAUCAUCAAUCAUCUUCAACCCUUGACACACAAGGAAUCACAUGUAAACCUCCAUCUUCGUCAUCACCAAGCAUUAAUCGCAAAUCUUAUACACCAAGUGGUUAUUCACAGUGGAGGCGAGUUGCCACCAAAUUGGGUGUUAAUAAAGUCAUCUGUGAAGACAAAGAGUUGGACACUGGUGAAGAUGGACACAGCAACAUUGUUGAAACUGCUUCUGGCUCCAUGGAGUCACUGGACGAAGGAGUUGCAGAAGUGAUUACAAGUGAAUUUGAAGAUGAUUGCGCUCUUCGUUUAUUGGAUGACGAACCCGAAUCAUGGAACAAUACAGUUGAUAAAAAGGUUCUCAAACGAUUAAAGGAAAAGGACAUUAGACGACAAGAAGUUAUUCAUGAGUUAAUAAUAACCGAAAAGCAUCAUUGUUUAACCCUAAAGAUAAUGCAGAAAAUAUAUGCUCAAGGUAUGAUUAAAGAACUUCAUAUGACCAAAGACAUGGUGGAAAGGAUAUUCCCAUGUUUGGAGGAUCUUCUUGAAACCCAUCUUACAUUCCUUAAGAAAUUACGUGAAAGACAAUCUCUAGACUCUGUGAUCGAUAAUAUUGGAGACAUAAUAUUACAACAGUUUUCUGGAUCAAAUGGUGAACAAUUAAGAAACUGUUACGGACAAUUUUGUAGUCAACAUAAAGAAGCCCUGUCUUUGUAUAAAGAUAUCCUGAAAACUGAUAGGAAAUUCCAGAAUUUCAUCAAAAAAUGUAGCAUGAAACCCGUUUGUAAAACUCGAGGAAUUCCUGAAUGUAUUUUACUCGUUACUCAGCGCAUCACCAAAUAUCCAUUGUUGAUUGAUUCCUUGUUGAAAGUUACCAAAGAUAAUAAAUGUGAUUAUAGUGAUUUGAAGGAUGCACUGAGUCACUGUAAAAAUGUCAUUAAUCGAGUUGAUGCUCAAGUUGCUGAAAAGGAAAAGGAAAUUCGUUUACUUGAGAUUUAUAAUAAAAUUGAUGCCAAAUCGACGACCAUCUACAAGGGUAAAAAGUUUAGAAAAUCUGAUCUUCUCUCGAAUAAUCGAAAGUUGCGCCAUGAAGCUGUUCUCUCAUGGAAAAGUGCUCGUGGUAAAGUUGUUGAUGUAAUUGGUGUUAUACUUUCUGAUGUAAUCAUUUUGCUUCAAGAAAACAAUCAAAAGUAUCAUUUCUGUUCACUUGAUAACAAGUCAAGUGUUGUUUCAUUGCAAAAGCUUUUGGUUCGUGAAAAGGCUGGACAAUUAAGUCGAGGAGUUUACUUGAUAUCAUCCAAUCCUCAUGAGCCUGAAAUGUAUGAACUGAUAUGUCCAACUGCAAAGGAACAGAAAAAUUUGAUUGACCAGAUUCGAGAAGCGGUCGAGAUUUGUCCUGAUGAAGAAGAGGAUUGUCCGAAUGAGGGUGAAGAGAAAAAGAUAGAAGAGGCAAGAAAAGCAAAAGUUCGUGAACUAUUGAAUUCAAUGUACGAAAAGGAUGCUCGAAUGGCUCAAAUGUGUGAAGAUAAAAUGAAAAUAUUCGCCGACAUGAUGGAAUUGCUCGGUAUUGAACAAGAAGGAAUUGAAUUGAUCCGUUAUGUGCCAAUGAUUGAAGACAAUUGCUCACCAGAGACAAUCAUUAAUGCUGCCAAUGAAGCUUUCAGGAUAGCUCAUAAUCUUUACGUUUCUGGUACCAAUUUGUGUCGCAGUGUCAGUUCAGCUGGUGAACAUCAAAGUGACACUUUUGUUUCGCCCAUUUUACCAAAAAGAGCAGAGACUUUUGGUGGCUUUGAUAAUCCAGAGAAAGAUCCUUUACUGCGAUUGAAUGCAUUGAAGAAGAAGUUGGGUCAAUUGAAAGACUGUCCAUUCAAGGAAAAUGUUACAGGCGAUUCGCGAACAUCUGAAGUUGAUCCCGACGGAAGUGCUCUUAACAUGGGAUCCACUCUAUCCACAGCCUCGUCCUCUUCCUCAUCAACGACAACAAUGACUCAAGGUCCAACCAAUGAAUCAUUCCUAGCAAUAAGACCCACUUUAACUGAUCACCGUCGAUCUUCUGGACCGUUGGUCAACAAGUGCUCAUCGAAUGCAUCGAGUCCCGAGAAGACGCAACGACGUUCCCUUGUCACUACACCAACACCUUCGAUUCAAUCACUGUUUGCCUCUUCAAGCACUACAUUGGCACCCAUUUCACCCUCAUCUUCUACCUCAUCAUCAUCCUCAAUGUUUGCCACUUUACCUCUUUACGAUCCUAGUGACAUAUACAGACUAACAACUACACCUCUUCUGAUGACUCAAGGAAAAGACCAGUUGAUCCAAAUAGCUGAACUUCAACAUCAAGUUAAUCUUCUUAUGUGUUUAUUCAAUUACCAGCAAACCUUGUUUGAAAACAUGAGAUUUCAAUUGAUGGAUUCAAACAACAAGAUAAUUCAACUUCAAAAGGACAACAUUUACGGUGGAAACAACGGUCGAGACGCAAAAUCGGAUCGUCGAAGUGUGUACAGACCGGAACAAGGGUUGGAAGAACUGAGGAAUCUUCAAGAACAGUUGAGAAUGGAAAAGAGCGAAUGGAUCAAAAAGCUAAAUGAAGAAAAGACGGGAAUCGAAAGUGAACGAAAAUCGUUGGAAGAUUUACAGGAAAAGGUUCGAAAGGAACAAAAGGACGUGGAAGAGCAAAGGGAAAUGCUUUAUCGCAAGUUGGAGGCUCUUCAAAAGGAAGGAAUAAUUCUGUCUCCUGCUCAUACAAUUGUGAAUACUGGUAAUUUACGGAUCAAUCCUGAUCUUGUUAAUCGGGGAAAUGGCCUUAACAAUAAUAGUCUUGUCAGUAAUAAUAGUAAUAACAAUAACAAUAGUCCAUGUAAUGCCACUGGAAUAUCUGAUUGUGAUAGAUUGACUGGAUCAAGUUGUAAUCAAUUUACUCGAUCAGUUGCUACUAAUUUUAAUAACAUAUCAUUUCCAUCUUGUGUAUCAUCAACACCAGGAACAACUGUAUCCUCCGAGACGCCAAGUCUAACUUCAUCUGAUAAAGUUAAUCAAUCUUCAUCUUCUGCACCGAGAACACCAAGUUUAGCCUUUAAUAGUGGUUCUAAUUCAUCACCAAUUAAGCAACAAUUGCCCCUUAAAUUGGCCGUUAACGAGUCAGGUCAGGGUCGAUGUAAUCAUAGUCAAGUAGUCAAUUCACCAUCUAAUCAACAGAUACCAGCGACAAUUGGAAAUAUUCCUGUGAGUAAAGUGUUCCUGGCUCAGUUUUGAGUAAACUGUUUAUGACUCAGUUGAUGACUUAAUUCGAGUCUGAACAUCAUUCAGUUUUGUCUCUUAUUUUGUUCGUGAAAACAUUUUUUCCUUUUUUUCAUUAUUAUUUAUCAUUCUUCAAGUAUCAAACUCAGUGAUGGAUUCUGAUCAAUUUUUAUUCAACAAUAAAUUCGAAAUAUUGACGAGAUAAUCAAAAGACUAACCCUAAUCACUGGACGAUUGUUUUUUACAUUUGGACGUUUAUUGGUCAGUGUGCUUGAUUGUUGGUCAACAAUUGUGUACACUUUCAUUGUAAAUUGUGUUACAACUGGUUCAAAUGUUUUUUUGCAUUGUACAGAUUGAAUGAUAUUUUAUGUUCAUUUUUCUCAAAUGAUUUCGUUUUAGAGAUUCUUUCUCUAAUUCAAUUUCUCUAAUUGUUUACUGAAUCAAUUUUAUUGUAACACUGAGACAAUAGUCAGUCAAAUGAAGAUGUAAUACACUUGAAUAAAUUUAUUUUUUGUCAAUUUAA